UGGGGUAGAUAAUAUAUAGGUUCGUUUCGUGUGUAUUUUAGUCCAGACGCCAUCUAAUUAACUAUCGAUUUGACCUCAGAUGACCAUAUAAGCGAUGUAAACAUAAAUAAAGAUAUAUAUAGAUUAAACCAACACGUGCAAUUGGAUUUUUAUAGGUCUGUUUGAUUUUAUUUUAUAGAUUAAAAAUAGAUGUUUCUCAUUGUUUUAACCGUAUAAGAAUGAUUUUAUGUGCAUCGAAUUAGUAAUGAAAUGAUUUACCGUAGUUUCACUUUCAUUGUUGACAUUCUUUUUCUUUAAAUAACCAGUACACGUACAAUGCAUGCAUUGUCAAUCUCUAGCUAGGGGUUAAAUUGAAGUUCACAUGAAUACGGAUUUAAAGAGGUCGACUCAUUCACUUGCAAGUGAAUAACUAAUUAUCAAUGUUUCUUAGCGUAAUUUGACAAAAUUGAACCUUUUUGGCUGCAAAAAGC
Molecule: long non-coding RNA, 470 nt
Filed under: Mytilus galloprovincialis (Mediterranean mussel)
Lineage: Eukaryota; Metazoa; Mollusca; Bivalvia; Mytilida; Mytilidae
Source: RNAcentral